RNAcentral lists this ribosomal RNA (253 nucleotides) under uncultured bacterium. RNAcentral's name for it is "partial 16S ribosomal RNA". It matches the Rfam family "Bacterial small subunit ribosomal RNA", at positions 524 to 776 of the family's 1533-position model. The record is from RNAcentral.
UACGUAGGGGGCAAGCGUUGUCCGGAUUUAUUGGGCGUAAAGAGCGUGUAGGCGGUUUGGUAGGUCCGCUGUGAAAACUCGAGGCUCAACCUCGAGACGCCGAUGGAAACCCCCUGGCUAGAGUCCGGAAGAGGAGAGUGGAAUUCCUGGUGUAGCGGUGAAAUGCGCAGAUAUCAGGAAGAACACCCGUGGCUAAGGCGGCUCUCUAGUACGGUACUGACGCUGAGACGCGAAAGCGUGGGGAGCGAACAGG